ACAGCAGCAGCCGCGGGAAUACAGAGGGUGCGAGCGUUAAUCGGAUUUACUGGGCGUAAAGCGUGCGUAGGCGGCUUUUUAAGUCGGAUGUGAAAUCCCUGAGCUUAACUUAGGAAUUGCAUUCGAUACUGGGAAGCUAGAGUAUGGGAGAGGAUGGUAGAAUUCCAGGUGUAGCGGUGAAAUGCGUAGAGAUCUGGAGGAAUACCGAUGGCGAAGGCAGCCAUCUGGCCUAAUACUGACGCUGAGGUACGAAAGCAUGGGGAGCAAACAGGAUUAGAUACCCGAGUAGUCCCUGUCUCUAUACA
This 305-nucleotide ribosomal RNA is filed under the name uncultured bacterium. RNAcentral describes it as "partial 16S ribosomal RNA". It matches the Rfam family "Bacterial small subunit ribosomal RNA", at positions 505 to 808 of the family's 1533-position model. The record is from RNAcentral.